AUACUUUCCUGUCAGGGAAGAUAUGAUUACUAUAAAGAUAAUUUUCCUAGAGUGAAGCUUAUCCAUUGCACUCUGGAUAUGCUGGCCCCUGUGAUUUCCCCAAAUGUAGGAAAUUCGACUGUACAAUUUGUAGUAGUGAGGGGCUGUGUUCAUGCUCUCCCCUU
Molecule: small nuclear RNA, 164 nt
Organism: Myodes glareolus (Bank vole)
Lineage: Eukaryota; Metazoa; Chordata; Mammalia; Rodentia; Cricetidae
Product: U1 spliceosomal RNA
Source: RefSeq, a predicted model, not a curated record